RNAcentral lists this ribosomal RNA (1181 nucleotides) under Pseudomonas sp. RV120224-01b. Its description in RNAcentral is "bacterial LSU rRNA". It matches the Rfam family "Bacterial large subunit ribosomal RNA", at positions 1740 to 2925 of the family's 2925-position model. Lineage: Bacteria; Pseudomonadati; Pseudomonadota; Gammaproteobacteria; Pseudomonadales; Pseudomonadaceae. The record is from RNAcentral.
AAGGACUUGCUCCGUAAGCCCAUGCCGGUCGAAGAUACCAGGCCGCUGCGACUGUUUAUUAAAAACACAGCACUCUGCAAACACGAAAGUGGACGUAUAGGGUGUGACGCCUGCCCGGUGCCGGAAGGUUAAUUGAUGGGGUUAGCGCAAGCGAAGCUCUUGAUCGAAGCCCCGGUAAACGGCGGCCGUAACUAUAACGGUCCUAAGGUAGCGAAAUUCCUUGUCGGGUAAGUUCCGACCUGCACGAAUGGCGUAACGAUGGCGGCGCUGUCUCCACCCGAGACUCAGUGAAAUUGAAAUCGCUGUGAAGAUGCAGUGUAUCCGCGGCUAGACGGAAAGACCCCGUGAACCUUUACUAUAGCUUUGCACUGGACUUUGAAUUUGCUUGUGUAGGAUAGGUGGGAGGCUUUGAAGUGGGGACGCCAGUUCUCAUGGAGCCAUCCUUGAAAUACCACCCUGGCAACUUUGAGGUUCUAACUCAGGUCCGUUAUCCGGAUCGAGGACAGUGUAUGGUGGGUAGUUUGACUGGGGCGGUCUCCUCCCAAAGAGUAACGGAGGAGUACGAAGGUGCGCUCAGACCGGUCGGAAAUCGGUCGUAGAGUAUAAAGGCAAAAGCGCGCUUGACUGCGAGACAAACACGUCGAGCAGGUACGAAAGUAGGUCUUAGUGAUCCGGUGGUUCUGUAUGGAAGGGCCAUCGCUCAACGGAUAAAAGGUACUCCGGGGAUAACAGGCUGAUACCGCCCAAGAGUUCAUAUCGACGGCGGUGUUUGGCACCUCGAUGUCGGCUCAUCACAUCCUGGGGCUGAAGCCGGUCCCAAGGGUAUGGCUGUUCGCCAUUUAAAGUGGUACGCGAGCUGGGUUUAGAACGUCGUGAGACAGUUCGGUCCCUAUCUGCCGUGGACGUUUGAGAUUUGAGAGGGGCUGCUCCUAGUACGAGAGGACCGGAGUGGACGAACCUCUGGUGUUCCGGUUGUCACGCCAGUGGCAUUGCCGGGUAGCUAUGUUCGGAAGAGAUAACCGCUGAAAGCAUCUAAGCGGGAAACUUGCCUCAAGAUGAGAUCUCACUGGGAUCUUGAAUCCCCUAAAGGGCCGUCGAAGACUACGACGUUGAUAGGUUGGGUGUGUAAGCGCUGUGAGGCGUUGAGCUAACCAAUACUAAUUGCCCGUGAGGCUUGACCA